RNAcentral lists this ribosomal RNA (2902 nucleotides) under Klebsiella aerogenes. Its description in RNAcentral is "bacterial LSU rRNA". It matches the Rfam family "Bacterial large subunit ribosomal RNA". Lineage: Bacteria; Pseudomonadati; Pseudomonadota; Gammaproteobacteria; Enterobacterales; Enterobacteriaceae. The record is from RNAcentral.
UUAAGCGACUAAGCGUACACGGUGGAUGCCCUGGCAGUCAGAGGCGAUGAAGGACGUGCUAAUCUGCGAAAAGCGUCGGUAAGGUGAUAUGAACCGUUAUAACCGGCGAUGUCCGAAUGGGGAAACCCAGUGCAAUUCGUUGCACUAUCGUUAACUGAAUACAUAGGUUAACGAGGCGAACCGGGGGAACUGAAACAUCUAAGUACCCCGAGGAAAAGAAAUCAACCGAGAUUCCCCCAGUAGCGGCGAGCGAACGGGGAGCAGCCCAGAGUCUGAAUCAGCUUGUGUGUUAGUGGAACGGUCUGGAAAGUCCGACGGUACAGGGUGAUAGUCCCGUACACCAAAAUGCACAGGUUGUGAACUCGAAGAGUAGGGCGGGACACGUGGUAUCCUGUCUGAAUAUGGGGGGACCAUCCUCCAAGGCUAAAUACUCCUGACUGACCGAUAGUGAACCAGUACCGUGAGGGAAAGGCGAAAAGAACCCCGGCGAGGGGAGUGAAAAAGAACCUGAAACCGUGUACGUACAAGCAGUGGGAGCACCUUCGGGUGUGACUGCGUACCUUUUGUAUAAUGGGUCAGCGACUUAUAUUCUGUAGCAAGGUUAACCGUAUAGGGGAGCCGCAGGGAAACCGAGUCUUAACUGGGCGUUAAGUUGCAGGGUAUAGACCCGAAACCCGGUGAUCUAGCCAUGGGCAGGUUGAAGGUUGGGUAACACUAACUGGAGGACCGAACCGACUAAUGUUGAAAAAUUAGCGGAUGACUUGUGGCUGGGGGUGAAAGGCCAAUCAAACCGGGAGAUAGCUGGUUCUCCCCGAAAGCUAUUUAGGUAGCGCCUCGUGAACUCAUCUUCGGGGGUAGAGCACUGUUUCGGCUAGGGGGUCAUCCCGACUUACCAACCCGAUGCAAACUACGAAUACCGAAGAAUGUUAUCACGGGAGACACACGGCGGGUGCUAACGUCCGUCGUGAAGAGGGAAACAACCCAGACCGCCAGCUAAGGUCCCAAAGUCACAGUUAAGUGGGAAACGAUGUGGGAAGGCACAGACAGCCAGGAUGUUGGCUUAGAAGCAGCCAUCAUUUAAAGAAAGCGUAAUAGCUCACUGGUCGAGUCGGCCUGCGCGGAAGAUGUAACGGGGCUAAACUGUGCACCGAAGCUGCGGCAGCGACACUAUGUGUUGUUGGGUAGGGGAGCGUUCUGUAAGCCUGCGAAGGUGGCCUGUGAGGGUUGCUGGAGGUAUCAGAAGUGCGAAUGCUGACAUAAGUAACGAUAAUGCGGGUGAAAAGCCCGCACGCCGGAAGACCAAGGGUUCCUGUCCAACGUUAAUCGGGGCAGGGUGAGUCGACCCCUAAGGCGAGGCCGAAAGGCGUAGUCGAUGGGAAACAGGUUAAUAUUCCUGUACUUGGUGUUACUGCGAAGGGGGGACGGAGAAGGCUAUGUUAGCCGGGCGACGGUUGUCCCGGUUUAAGCAUGUAGGCGGAGGUUCCAGGUAAAUCCGGUACCUUUUAACGCUGAGGUGUGAUGACGAGGCACUACGGUGCUGAAGUAACAAAUGCCCUGCUUCCAGGAAAAGCCUCUAAGCAUCAGGUAACAUUAAAUCGUACCCCAAACCGACACAGGUGGUCAGGUAGAGAAUACCAAGGCGCUUGAGAGAACUCGGGUGAAGGAACUAGGCAAAAUGGUGCCGUAACUUCGGGAGAAGGCACGCUGAUAUGUAGGUGAAGCCCCUGCGGGUGGAGCUGAAAUCAGUCGAAGAUACCAGCUGGCUGCAACUGUUUAUUAAAAACACAGCACUGUGCAAACACGAAAGUGGACGUAUACGGUGUGACGCCUGCCCGGUGCCGGAAGGUUAAUUGAUGGGGUUAUCCGUAAGGAGAAGCUCUUGAUCGAAGCCCCGGUAAACGGCGGCCGUAACUAUAACGGUCCUAAGGUAGCGAAAUUCCUUGUCGGGUAAGUUCCGACCUGCACGAAUGGCGUAAUGAUGGCCAGGCUGUCUCCACCCGAGACUCAGUGAAAUUGAACUCGCUGUGAAGAUGCAGUGUACCCGCGGCAAGACGGAAAGACCCCGUGAACCUUUACUAUAGCUUGACACUGAACAUUGAGCCUUGAUGUGUAGGAUAGGUGGGAGGCUUUGAAGCGUGGACGCCAGUCUGCGUGGAGCCAACCUUGAAAUACCACCCUUUAAUGUUUGAUGUUCUAACGUUGGCCCCUGACCGGGGUUGCGGACAGUGUCUGGUGGGUAGUUUGACUGGGGCGGUCUCCUCCCAAAGAGUAACGGAGGAGCACGAAGGUUAGCUAAUCCUGGUCGGACAUCAGGAGGUUAGUGCAAUGGCAUAAGCUAGCUUGACUGCGAGCGUGACGGCGCGAGCAGGUGCGAAAGCAGGUCAUAGUGAUCCGGUGGUUCUGAAUGGAAGGGCCAUCGCUCAACGGAUAAAAGGUACUCCGGGGAUAACAGGCUGAUACCGCCCAAGAGUUCAUAUCGACGGCGGUGUUUGGCACCUCGAUGUCGGCUCAUCACAUCCUGGGGCUGAAGUAGGUCCCAAGGGUAUGGCUGUUCGCCAUUUAAAGUGGUACGCGAGCUGGGUUUAGAACGUCGUGAGACAGUUCGGUCCCUAUCUGCCGUGGGCGCUGGAGAAUUGAGGGGGGCUGCUCCUAGUACGAGAGGACCGGAGUGGACGCAUCACUGGUGUUCGGGUUGUCAUGCCAAUGGCAUUGCCCGGUAGCUAAAUGCGGAAGAGAUAAGUGCUGAAAGCAUCUAAGCACGAAACUUGCCCCGAGAUGAGUUCUCCCUGAGACUUUAAGUCUCCUGAAGGAACGUUAAAGACGAUGACGUUGAUAGGUCGGGUGUGUAAGCGUAGCGAUACGUUGAGCUAACCGAUACUAAUGAACCGUGAGGCUUAACCUU